AGACAGCUAGGAGGUUGGCUUAGAAGCAGCCAUCCUUUAAAGAAAGCGUAAUAGCUCACUAGUCGAGUCGGUCUGCGCGGAAGAUGUAACGGGGCUAAACCAUGCACCGAAGCUGCGGCAGCGACACUAUGUGUUGUUGGGUAGGGGAGCGUUCUGUAAGCCGUUGAAGGUGGCCUGUGAGGGUUGCUGGAGGUAUCAGAAGUGCGAAUGCUGACAUGAGUAACGAUAAAGGGGGUGAGAGGCCCCCUCGCCGAAAAUCCAAGGUUUCCUGCUCAACGUUAAUCGGAGCAGGGUGAGUCGGCCCCUAAGGCGAGGCAGAAAUGCGUAGUCGAUGGGAAACAGGUUAAUAUUCCUGUACUUGGA
RNAcentral lists this ribosomal RNA (363 nucleotides) under Thalassiosira minuscula. RNAcentral describes it as "partial Bacterial large subunit ribosomal RNA". It matches the Rfam family "Bacterial large subunit ribosomal RNA", at positions 1087 to 1449 of the family's 2925-position model. The record is from RNAcentral. Lineage: Eukaryota; Bacillariophyta; Thalassiosirophyceae; Thalassiosirales; Thalassiosiraceae.